Molecule: ribosomal RNA, 655 nt
Filed under: Mucor hiemalis f. hiemalis
Lineage: Eukaryota; Fungi; Mucoromycota; Mucoromycetes; Mucorales; Mucoraceae
Description: LSU rRNA
Rfam family: Eukaryotic large subunit ribosomal RNA
Source: RNAcentral
UAACAAUGAUUUCCCUAGUAACGGCGAGUGAAGAGGAAAGAGCUCAAAGUUGGAACCUGUUUGGCUUAGCUAAACCGGAUUGUAAACUGUAGACGUGUUUUCCAGGUACGCCAGAUAAAUAAGUCCUUUGGAACAGGGCAUCAUAGAGGGUGAGAAUCCCGUCUUUGGUCUGAGCAGUUGCCUAUUGUGAUACGCGUUCAAAGAGUCAGGUUGUUUGGGAAUGCAGCCUAAAUUGGGUGGUAAAUCUCACCUAAAGCUAAAUAUUUGCGAGAGACCGAUAGCGAACAAGUACCGUGAGGGAAAGAUGAAAAGAACUUUGAAAAGAGAGUUAAACAGUAUGUGAAAUUGUUAAAAGGGAACCGUUUGGAGCCAGACUGGCUUGACUGUAAUCAAUCUAGAUCCUUCUGGAUGCACUUGCAGUCUAUGCCUGCCAAUAACAAUUUGAUUUGAGGGAAAAAACUGAGAGGAAUGUGGCCCUUCGGGGUGUUAUAGCCUUUUGGAAAAUACCUUGGGUUGGAUUGAGGAUCGCAGUGAAUGCCUUUAGGCAAGGUUGCUGCGUGCUUUCGCUGAUAGAUGCUAGAAUUUCUGCUUCAGGUGGUGCUAGUGUUUAAAGGUGGAACUCGCGUGGUAUAUCUUUUAUUCGCUUAGGUUAUUG